CUGAAUUUAGCGGCGGACGGGUGAGUAAUACUUAGGAAUCUGCCUAUUAGUGGGGGACAACAUUUCGAAAGGAAUGCUAAUACCGCAUACGCCCUACGGGGGAAAGCAGGGGCUCUUCGGACCUUGCGCUAAUAGAUGAGCCUAAGUCAGAUUAGCUAGUUGGUGGGGUAAAGGCCUACCAAGGCGACGAUCUGUAGCGGGUCUGAGAGGAUGAUCCGCCACACUGGGACUGAGACACGGCCCAGACUCCUACGGGAGGCAGCAGUGGGGAAUAUUGGACAAUGGGCGCAAGCCUGAUCCAGCCAUGCCGCGUGUGUGAAGAAGGCCUUUUGGUUGUAAAGCACUUUAAGCGAGGAGGAGGCUACUUAGAUUAAUACUCUAGGAUAGUGGACGUUACUCGCAGAAUAAGCACCGGCUAACUCUGUGCCAGCAGCCGCGGUAAUACAGAGGGUGCGAGCGUUAAUCGGAUUUACUGGGCGUAAAGCGUGCGUAGGCGGCUUUUUAAGUCGGAUGUGAAAUCCCUGAGCUUAACUUAGGA
This 538-nucleotide ribosomal RNA is filed under the name uncultured Acinetobacter sp. RNAcentral describes it as "bacterial SSU rRNA". It matches the Rfam family "Bacterial small subunit ribosomal RNA", at positions 86 to 619 of the family's 1533-position model. Lineage: Bacteria; Pseudomonadati; Pseudomonadota; Gammaproteobacteria; Moraxellales; Moraxellaceae. The record is from RNAcentral.